UGGGGAAUUUUGGACAAUGGGCGAAAGCCUGAUCCAGCAAUGCCGCGUGAGUGAAGAAGGCCUUCGGGUUGUAAAGCUCUUUCAGUUGAGAAGAAAAGGCCGUGACUAAUAAUUAUGGUUCAUGACGGUAUCAACAGAAGAAGCACCGGCUAACUACGUGCCAGCAGCCGCGGUAAUACGUAGGGUGCGAGCGUUAAUCGGAAUUACUGGGCGUAAAGGGUGCGCAGGCGGUUUUGUAAGUCAGAUGUGAAAUCCCCGGGCUUAACCUGGGAAUUGCGUUUGAAACUGCAGAGCUAGAGUGUAGCAGAGGGGGUGGAAUUCCAUGUGUAGCAGUGAAAUGCGUAGAGAUAUGGAAGAACAUCGAUGGCGAAGGCAGCCCCCUGGGUUAACACUGACGCUCAUGCACGAAAGCGUGGGGAGCAAACAGG
RNAcentral lists this ribosomal RNA (428 nucleotides) under uncultured bacterium. Its description in RNAcentral is "bacterial SSU rRNA". It matches the Rfam family "Bacterial small subunit ribosomal RNA", at positions 355 to 776 of the family's 1533-position model. The record is from RNAcentral.